AAUUGGUGCAAAUCCCAACCUGGCUGUGCGUUCUCCCUCUCGACACCUCCGCCCUGUCCCGCCGGAGCCAUCGGCGCUCCCCGACCCCAUCACGUGUCCGGCCUUGGACGGGACCCGGCUCUGCCCGCCGGGCUCCGCUCGCUGCGGGGCUGGAGCUGUGCUGGGGCCGCUCCGACCCCGGCCCGUUCCCGGUCCCGUUCCGGUCCCGCUCCUGGCCCGAUCCCGGUCCAAUUCCAGUCUCGAUCCCAGCCCCGCUCCUGGCCCGAUCCCAGCCACACUCCCAGCCCCGUUCCCGGCCCCGCCGCAGCCCCGGGCCGGGCAGCUCCGCUCGCUGCCGGCGGGAGCGGCCCCGAGCCCCCGCUCUGCUCGGCGCCCCCAGGGUGUCCUGGGCUUCGCUGGAAGGCUGAGCGAUGUCUCUCACUAACCACAUCCAGAUGUGCCUGCUUGGCAGCCCGCUGCACAGACGGUACCGAGGGGACGCAGGAUCAGCGCUAUCAAAUGGGCUUUGAAGAACUGAUUAAAUAAGACAGAAGAUCUCCAGGAAAAGUAUGGGCAGUGGUGCCAGGCAGCUCAAACACGGCUUUUAGCAGUC
Molecule: long non-coding RNA, 592 nt
Filed under: Serinus canaria (Common canary)
Lineage: Eukaryota; Metazoa; Chordata; Aves; Passeriformes; Fringillidae
Description: lncRNA (ENSSCAG00000005144.1)
Source: RNAcentral